RNAcentral lists this ribosomal RNA (492 nucleotides) under uncultured bacterium. RNAcentral describes it as "partial 16S ribosomal RNA". It matches the Rfam family "Bacterial small subunit ribosomal RNA", at positions 29 to 507 of the family's 1533-position model. The record is from RNAcentral.
AGUGAACGCUGGCGGUAGGCCUAACACAUGCAAGUCGAACGGCAGCACAGUAAGAGCUUGCUCUUACGGGUGGCGAGUGGCGGACGGGUGAGGAAUACAUCGGAAUCUACUUUUUCGUGGGGGAUAACGUAGGGAAACUUACGCUAAUACCGCAUACGACCUACGGGUGAAAGCAGGGGAUCUUCGGACCUUGCGCGAUUGAAUGAGCCGAUGUCGGAUUAGCUAGUUGGCGGGGUAAAGGCCCACCAAGGCGACGAUCCGUAGCUGGUCUGAGAGGAUGAUCAGCCACACUGGAACUGAGACACGUUCCAGACUCCUACGGGAGGCAGCAGUGGGGAAAAUUGGACAAUGGGCGCAAGCCUGAUCCAGCCAUACCGCGUGGGUGAAGAAGGCCUUCGGGUUGUAAAGCCCUUUUGUUGGGAAAGAAAGGCAGCAGGUUAAUACCCCGCUGUUCUGACGGUACCCAAAGAAUAAGCACGGGCUAACUUCGUG